UGACGCGCUCCGGUUUCAAGUCCAUCCACCGAAGACAACGUCAAUUUUUCUUGCCCAAGAGACUGACGAACUUGCUUUAAUCUCGAGGCUCGGUUCCGAUCUCGAAAAAUGAGGACCUCAAAUUCGUUGGUUGUACUAAUCGUGGUCGGCUAUUUUGCGAUUUUAUGCUACGGAUCUCAGUCGUAUGGUUUAAUACAUCGGAAUGUUUUAAAGGGAAUUGAAAGAGUGUUGGUCAGUGAGCGCAAUUCUUUUGGAAAGGACUUCAAGAGGUUUUGUUUUGAAUAAGAAAAAGAAAAGUGGCUGAACUUGACAAAAGGAGCUGUCUGCUUUGGAGGGGGUGGAAGCGAAUAUGCCACCCUCGUGGCACCAAUCGAGGGCUUUCUGAUGUCAAUUAAAUUAACCCACGUCAGUGGACUAAGCUCAUGUGAGAGAAAUUCUCCCCAAUACAACAGUAUGUGGGGUUGCUCUCGCAGUCAUCCUGUACAUGGCGGAUCGCCUUUUAACGUCGUCAUAACAACGGCACCCAGGAAUGACACCCUCUUCCCGACGCAUUUUUUUCUCGAGGACAACAAGGGAUCCUACUGGUACGACAAACCGGAAGUGGGCCCUAACUCGCCGGAAAUAAUCCUUACAGACCCAUCAAAUCCCGUUUAUGUUACUACGAACCAAGAGCUACGCGUGUGGUUUGGAGAAGACCUGUCAAACCCUGGUGUGAAAAAACAAGGAGGAAGAGUCUGCAUAACUGCGCGAGCCUGGUACAAGCAUUGAGCUGUCUAGAUGUCACGUGAUCGAUCACAUGUUUAAAGCCUCUUGAUGAAAUUUCAGAAUGACAUCGAGGGAAAAAACUGACUUUUGUUGCUAUUUAGCUCAGUAGUGUUGUAAUUUACGAAAUACUAUCUCUAAGAGUAUAUAUCUUAAGGUUUUAUUGAAAAGUUAGACAUGUUGGAAACAAGACAAGGUAAAACAAGACUAGAUGUAAGGCUAAUGUUGACGGUUCAAACUUUGAAUCGCAAUUCUAACAAUCAUUGUAAGAGAAAAUACAAAUCAACUACAGCAUUUACGUUCCCGAUAACCCCCUCGGUUAAUUGUCACUUUAACCAAGAGUAAAGAACGAACCCCUUUCGCAUAGUCCAGGAAAAUAAAGAGAAAGCAGUCAAGUGUUA
Molecule: long non-coding RNA, 1163 nt
Organism: Stylophora pistillata
Lineage: Eukaryota; Metazoa; Cnidaria; Anthozoa; Scleractinia; Pocilloporidae
Source: RefSeq, a predicted model, not a curated record